This is a long non-coding RNA of Homo sapiens (human), 258 nucleotides long. RefSeq lists it as uncharacterized. The transcript is spliced from 3 exons. Lineage: Eukaryota; Metazoa; Chordata; Mammalia; Primates; Hominidae. The record is from RefSeq and is a predicted model, not a curated record.
AAAGAAAAGAAAAACCAAAGGACCAGAAAAAGAGACAGCCUAGCAAGAUAGGAGUCCAUUUGGGGAACUUGGACUUCAAACCCAAACAGCACUUAUGAGGCACCCCUCCUGCUCCUUGCCGAGGUACUACCAGAGGAAGCCUGCUGGAGACUCAGGAUUAACACCACUCAGUGGUAUAUCGGAGAAGCAAAAUCCAUGUUCAGAUGGUGAUUACAGUGACUUAAACAUGCUGGAUUUUUCUUGUAGUUUCACUUCUCA